This is a small nuclear RNA of Hibiscus syriacus, 116 nucleotides long. RefSeq annotates it as U5 spliceosomal RNA. The transcript has a single exon. Lineage: Eukaryota; Viridiplantae; Streptophyta; Magnoliopsida; Malvales; Malvaceae. The record is from RefSeq and is a predicted model, not a curated record.
AACUGUGUAGCGAGCACAGAGCGAACUAUUCUUUUGCCUUUUACAAAAGAAUACCGUGUGCUCUCCAUUUUAAGCGGCAUACGUCAAUUUUUGGAAGGGCGUUCCUCAUUUGUUAA